GACGAACGCUGGCGGCGUGCUUAACACAUGCAAGUCGAACGGAAAGGCCCUGCUUUUGUGGGGUGCUCGAGUGGCGAACGGGUGAGUAACACGCGAGUAACCUGCCCUUGACUUUGGGAUAACUUCAGGAAACUGGGGCUAAUACCGGAUAGGAGCUCCUGCUGCAUGGUGGGGGUUGGAAAGUUUCGGCGGUUGGGGAUGGACUCGCGGCUUACCAGCUUGUUGGUGGGGUAGUGGCUUACCAAGGCUUUGACGGGUAGCCGGCCUGGGAGGGUGGCCGGCCACAUUGGGCCUGAGAUACGGCCCAGACUCCUACGGGAGGCAGCGGUGGGGAAUAUUGCACAAUGGGCGGAAGCCUGAUGCAGCAACGCCGCGUGCGGGAUGACGGCCUUCGGGUUGUAAACCGCUUUCGCCUGUGACGAAGCGUGAGUGACGGUAAUGGGUAAAGAAGCACCGGCUAACUACGUG
RNAcentral lists this ribosomal RNA (468 nucleotides) under uncultured bacterium. RNAcentral describes it as "partial 16S ribosomal RNA". It matches the Rfam family "Bacterial small subunit ribosomal RNA", at positions 28 to 507 of the family's 1533-position model. The record is from RNAcentral.